CCUACGGGUGGCAGCAGUGAGGAAUAUUGGUCAAUGGCCGAGAGGCUGAACCAGCCAAGUCGCGUGAGGGAAGACGGCCCUACGGGUUGUAAACCUCUUUUGUCGGGGAGCAAAGAGAGUCACGUGUGACUCAUUGAGAGUACCCGAAGAAAAAGCAUCGGCUAACUCCGUGCCAGCAGCCGCGGUAAUACGGGGGAUGCGAGCGUUAUCCGGAUUUAUUGGGUUUAAAGGGUGCGCAGGGGGAGGUGCAAGUCAGCGGGAAAAUCGCGGGGCUCAACCCCGUACUGCCGUUGAAACUGCAUGCCUUGAGUGCGCGAGAAGUAUGCGGAAUGCGUGGUGUAGCGGUGAAAUGCAUAGAUAUCACGCAGAACUCCGAUUGCGAAGGCAGCAUACCGGCGCGCAACUGACGCUCAUGCACGAAAGCGUGGGUAUCGAACAGGAUUAGAUACCCCGGUAGUC
This 459-nucleotide ribosomal RNA is filed under the name uncultured bacterium. RNAcentral describes it as "partial 16S ribosomal RNA". It matches the Rfam family "Bacterial small subunit ribosomal RNA", at positions 338 to 795 of the family's 1533-position model. The record is from RNAcentral.